AUGUUAUGUUAAAGUCAUCUCCCAAUUAGAUUAUUUAGAACAUUUGGGAGCCAAACUUUUCUUUUUGCUAGAAAUGCUUUGUACGCCAUCAUCUCCAUUUCGAGAGUUAUACCUUUAC
Molecule: long non-coding RNA, 118 nt
Organism: Hibiscus syriacus
Lineage: Eukaryota; Viridiplantae; Streptophyta; Magnoliopsida; Malvales; Malvaceae
Exons: 3
Source: RefSeq, a predicted model, not a curated record